GUUCCGUAGGUGAACCUGCGGAAGGAUCAUUAUUGUAUAACCGAGGUGCGAGGGCUGUCGCUGACCCGAAAGGUCGUGCACGCCCGAGUGCCCUCACACACAUCCAUCUCACCCCUAUGUGCACCACCGCGUGGGUCCCCCUUUGGCUUGUUCGGAGGGGGGCUUACGUUUUCACACAAACUUUGUAUGCAGUAUAGAAUGUAUUUUUUGUUUUUGCGAUCACGCAAUCAAUACAACUUUCAACAACGGAUCUCUUGGCUCUC
RNAcentral lists this unclassified non-coding RNA (263 nucleotides) under plant metagenome. RNAcentral's name for it is "partial contains small subunit ribosomal RNA, internal transcribed spacer 1, and 5.8S ribosomal RNA". The record is from RNAcentral.